UGGGCCGGGUGUUACGCGGCCUCUGCCCGGUAGAGCCCCUGGCGUACUUCCCCAACGCCAGGUACUCCGUCCGGACAGAGCCCACGUGGCAUCCCCCGAUGUUC
Molecule: regulatory RNA element, 104 nt
Rfam family: mraW RNA
Source: Rfam